GAUGAACGCCGGCGCCGUGCCUAAUACAUGCAAGUCGAGCGAACGGACGAGAAGCUUGCUUCUCUGAUGUUAGCGGCGGACGGGUGAGUAACACGUGGAUAACCUACCUAUAAGACUGGGAUAACUUCGGGAAACCGGAGCUAAUACCGGAUAAUAUUUUGAACCGCAUGGUUCAAAAGUGAAAGACGGUCUUGCUGUCACUUAUAGAUGGAUCCGCGCUGCAUUAGCUAGUUGGUAAGGUAACGGCUUACCAAGGCAACGAUGCAUAGCCGACCUGAGAGGGUGAUCGGCCACACUGGAACUGAGACACGGUCCAGACUCCUACGGGAGGCAUCAGUAGGGAAUCUUCCGCAAUGGGCGAAAGCCUGACGGAGCAACGCCGCGUGAGUGAUGAAGGUCUUCGGAUCGUAAAACUCUGUUAUUAGGGAAGAACAUAUGUGUAAGUAACUGUGCACAUCUUGACGGUACCUAAUCAGAAAGCCACGGCUAACUACGUG
RNAcentral lists this ribosomal RNA (497 nucleotides) under uncultured bacterium. RNAcentral describes it as "partial 16S ribosomal RNA". It matches the Rfam family "Bacterial small subunit ribosomal RNA", at positions 28 to 507 of the family's 1533-position model. The record is from RNAcentral.